RNAcentral lists this ribosomal RNA (523 nucleotides) under uncultured bacterium. RNAcentral's name for it is "partial 16S ribosomal RNA". It matches the Rfam family "Bacterial small subunit ribosomal RNA", at positions 28 to 523 of the family's 1533-position model. The record is from RNAcentral.
GACGAACGCUGGCGGCGUGCCUAAUACAUGCAAGUCGAACGCUUUUUCUUUCACCGGAGCUUGCUCCACCGAAAGAAAAAGAGUGGCGAACGGGUGAGUAACACGUGGGUAACCUGCCCAUCAGAAGGGGAUAACACUUGGAAACAGGUGCUAAUACCGUAUAACACUAUUUUCCGCAUGGAAGAAAGUUGAAAGGCGCUUUUGCGUCACUGAUGGAUGGACCCGCGGUGCAUUAGCUAGUUGGUGAGGUAACGGCUCACCAAGGCAACGAUGCAUAGCCGACCUGAGAGGGUGAUCGGCCACACUGGGACUGGGACACGGCCCAGACUCCUACGGGGGGCAGCAGUAGGGAAUCUUCGGCAAUGGACGAAAGUCUGACCGAGCAACGCCGCGUGAGUGAAGAAGGUUUUCGGAUCGUAAAACUCUGUUGUUAGAGAAGAACAAGGAUGAGAGUAGAACGUUCAUCCCUUGACGGUAUCUAACCAGAAAGCCACGGCUAACUACGUGCCAGCCGCCGCGGUAA